AUUGAACGCUGGCGGCAGGCUUAACACAUGCAAGUCGAGCGGGGGAAGGUAGCUUGCUACCGGACCUAGCGGCGGACGGGUGAGUAAUGCUUAGGAAUCUGCCUAUUAGUGGGGGACAACAUCUCGAAAGGGAUGCUAAUACCGCAUACGUCCUACGGGAGAAAGCAGGGGAUCUUCGGACCUUGCGCUAAUAGAUGAGCCUAAGUCAGAUUAGCUAGUUGGUGGGGUAAAGGCCUACCAAGGCGACGAUCUGUAGCGGGUCUGAGAGGAUGAUCCGCCACACUGGGACUGGGACACGGCCCAGACUCCUACGGGAGGCAGCAGUGGGGAAUAUUGGACAAUGGGGGGAACCCUGAUCCAGCCAGGCCGCGUGUGUGAGGAAGGCCUUAUGGUUGUAAAGCACUUUAAGCGAGGAGGAGGCUACUUUAGUUAAUACCUAGAGAUAGUGGACGUUACUCGCAGAAUAAGCACCGGCUAACUCUGUGCCAGCAGCCGCCGUAA
This 501-nucleotide ribosomal RNA is filed under the name uncultured bacterium. RNAcentral's name for it is "partial 16S ribosomal RNA". It matches the Rfam family "Bacterial small subunit ribosomal RNA", at positions 30 to 523 of the family's 1533-position model. The record is from RNAcentral.